GGCUGGCCCAAAAGUAGUGAGUUAUCUCACUUGAUCACAGUCAGUUACAGAUUGAACUCCUUGUUCUACUUUCUCCCCUUCUCACUACUGCACUUGACUAGUCUUUU
Molecule: Y RNA, 107 nt
Filed under: Prolemur simus (greater bamboo lemur)
Lineage: Eukaryota; Metazoa; Chordata; Mammalia; Primates; Lemuridae
Description: Y RNA (ENSPSMG00000019046.1)
Rfam family: Y RNA
About the family: Y RNAs are components of the Ro ribonucleoprotein particle (Ro RNP), in association with Ro60 and La proteins. The Y RNAs and Ro60 and La proteins are well conserved, but the function of the Ro RNP is not known.
Source: Rfam by way of RNAcentral